UACGGGGGGGAGCAAGCGUUGUUCGGAUUUACUGGGCGUAAAGGGCGCGUAGGCGGCCACCGCAAGUCGACUGUGAAAUCUCCGGGCUUAACUCGGAAAGGUCAGCCGAUACUGCGGGGCUAGAGUGCAGAAGGGGCAACUGGAAUUCUCGGUGUAGCGGUGAAAUGCGUAGAUAUCGAGAGGAACACCUGCGGCGAAGGCGGGUUGCUGGGCUGAUACUGACGCUGAGGCGCGAAAGCCAGGGGAGCAAACGGG
RNAcentral lists this ribosomal RNA (255 nucleotides) under uncultured bacterium. Its description in RNAcentral is "partial 16S ribosomal RNA". It matches the Rfam family "Bacterial small subunit ribosomal RNA", at positions 524 to 776 of the family's 1533-position model. The record is from RNAcentral.